Molecule: ribosomal RNA, 447 nt
Filed under: uncultured Hyphomicrobiales bacterium
Lineage: Bacteria; Pseudomonadati; Pseudomonadota; Alphaproteobacteria; Hyphomicrobiales
Description: bacterial SSU rRNA
Rfam family: Bacterial small subunit ribosomal RNA
Source: RNAcentral
AACGAACGCUGGCGGCAGGCUUAACACAUGCAAGUCGAGCGCCCCGCAAGGGGAGCGGCAGACGGGUGAGUAACGCGUGGGGAUCUACCUUUUGCUACGGAAUAACGCAGGGAACCUUGUGCUAAUACCGUAUGUGUCCUUCGGGAGAAAGAUUUAUCGGCAAGAGAUGAGCCCGCGUUGGAUUAGCUAGUUGGUGGGGUAAAGGCCUACCAAGGCGACGAUCCAUAGCUGGUCUGAGAGGAUGAUCAGCCACAUUGGGACUGAGACACGGCCCAAACUCCUACGGGAGGCAGCAGUGGGGAAUAUUGGACAAUGGGCGCAAGCCUGAUCCAGCCAUGCCGCGUGAGUGAUGAAGGCCCUAGGGUUGUAAAGCUCUUUCACCGGAGAAGAUAAUGACGGUAUCCGGAGAAGAAGCCCCGGCUAACUUCGUGCCAGCCGCCGCGGUAA